CCUAAAUGCUCCUGUACGUCACUCUGGAUAAGAGUGUCUGCUAAAUGACUAAAA
Molecule: non-coding RNA, 54 nt
Organism: Salmo salar (Atlantic salmon)
Lineage: Eukaryota; Metazoa; Chordata; Actinopteri; Salmoniformes; Salmonidae
Source: Rfam